RNAcentral lists this non-coding RNA (61 nucleotides) under Bacillus sp. (in: firmicutes). RNAcentral describes it as "Bacillus sp. Fluoride sequence". It matches the Rfam family "Fluoride riboswitch aptamer (crcB RNA motif)". The record is from RNAcentral. Lineage: Bacteria; Bacillati; Bacillota; Bacilli; Caryophanales; Bacillaceae.
AAAAUAAUAGGUGAUGGAGUUCACCUUUAACCGCCUUUAGGCUAAUGACUCCUGUCAGUUG